CUCUGGUGUGGAACAAAUUAGUGUUUAUACGUCAUUGAUGGGUGCUUCUUGAACAGAUUUGAAACCAGUCUUGGCCUAGUAAUAGUUUGUUUAUUUUUAACUGCAAUUAUUAUGCAUUUGGAAACUCUUUUAAGCUCUCUGGGACAAAUGAAUCACUCUUAGUUGUUAGUUUUGAGUUUGUUCUUUAGAUAUAAGGUGUUCUUUUACUUUUGUUGGGUUAUUGUUUUGAAACUUGGAGUACAACAAAUUGUAAAAACAGAAGAAGGGAAAUGAAAAUUCAAGGAGACAGGAAAGUUUCUUUCCCUUAAAUGUUUGCAACUCUGUACAUAUUUUAAUCUCUGAUAUGAAUUUUUAGUUUUCUUUGCUCUGUCCACACUCCACAGUAAUUAGACUGCAAUAGAAAGAGACAACUGAUUCAUGGUUCAGCAACUUUACUAAUGACAUAAGAUUUUCUUUCCUUUCUUUGCUAUUUAUGUUCUUCUUCCUGUGACUUGCCGGCAGAAAUGGUAAACAAGAACAGUGGAAGCAGUAAAGGGGUGACAAUGUAUCAGAAUCCGCCAGGUUCUGUAAUUGGUGUUUUAUAAUAGAGACCCAUGUCUAUAAGCUAUAGACUAUAGAAAUCUGUGAUUACUGUAAAUGCUUAUAGACUAUAGAAAUCUUUGAUUACUGUAAAUCAUUAUUUGAUGAAGACGGUGUUUUUGAACAUGUAAGUGGUUAUCUGAUGCUGACCUCUACAUAAAGCUGAGUCUCUGAGUAAAUGAUAUAAUGGAUGGG
Molecule: unclassified non-coding RNA, 774 nt
Filed under: Hevea brasiliensis (rubber tree)
Lineage: Eukaryota; Viridiplantae; Streptophyta; Magnoliopsida; Malpighiales; Euphorbiaceae
Source: RNAcentral